This is a long non-coding RNA of Eucalyptus grandis, 452 nucleotides long. RefSeq lists it as uncharacterized. The record is from RefSeq and is a predicted model, not a curated record. Lineage: Eukaryota; Viridiplantae; Streptophyta; Magnoliopsida; Myrtales; Myrtaceae. The transcript is spliced from 2 exons.
UGCGGUGUUCAUGGUUCAAUGGCCACCAUCCCCAUCACUGGCACUGGCAUCAACCCGGCUAGGAGCUUUGUGCUGCAGUUAUCUACAACAACGGCAAAGUGUGGGAUGACCAAUGGAUCUUCUGGGUUGGACCAUUUGUGGGGCACUCGCAGCAGCAGCAUACCACCAAUACAUCCCUCAAGCAGCUGCCAUCAAGGCCCUCGGAUCCUUCCGCAGCAACCCAACCAACUAAGAUCUUUGCGAUUUUCCCCUUUUUAUUUCAUUUGUUUGUUUGUGUGAAUGAGAGAGGAGUAUUAUGAUGAAUGGAUGGAUGGAGAUGGAUGGUGAUGAUGGACCCUAUCUUAAUUUAUUGAUGCUUCGGUAUCUAGCAAGGGUAGAGUUUGGACCUUGUAUCAUUAUUAUUGCUGUUAUUAUGGUUCAUGAUUAGUGGUGGAAUUGUUUCCUUUAUCUUC